GUCGUGUCAGGACUGGCAGACUGGUGAGCACGACACGCACACACACACACACACACACACUCAUGACACAGAUCUCACAGACCUACAGACAAAGAGAGAGAGAGAUACAGAGAGAAUGAGGACAGAAGUAAAGAAAGAAAGCAAGGAAGAAAGAAAGAGGUAGAGAUCAGUGAUGUGGCUAUGUGACCAAAUAGGGCUUCCCCUGUGGGAAGAAGGUCUACGCACAAAGAGAUGCAACAGCUGUUCGAUGGCUCUCUGUAUCCCGAUGAUGAUGAUCUAGGGCCGCUUCACCCCAGCACUACACGCAACAUGAGUGGGAAUAACCGAACCAUAAGUGUGAGAUUGAUGGGUCACACUGAGCCGGGCGUCUGGCACCUGAACACCACACAAAGUGCAGACUUCAGACUCCGCGGAGGACGGGAGUAGAUGAACAGGAAACGACAACUCCUGCGUGAUGACAAGUCAACGAGGAGUCAUAGACAGAGAGAACAAGAGGAGCGGGUGAGGGCGAAUGGGCUGAAAGAGCACAAAAACAUUCCAAAAUCAACCAAAAUAAACUUUAGACUGUUUUCAUUAUAAUUUCCAUCCACCAACCGGUUUUAACUGAAAAAAAGCCCUUACAACAUGAUGGCUGACAUAAUUCACGGCCUACUUCACUGCCUUCUAAAGUUAAAUAGGUUUGACCUGCUGCAAGAUGAUGUCCUAAAAGCCAGAUCCUGAUUACACUGAUGAUCUAAUGGUUUAUGAAGAGCUGUGGCCACACUCAUUUCUGCGGAACAUCUUAAGAACUCACAUGGGAUGCUUGCAGAUAUAUAUUUCUUUGGAUAUAUGCCCUGUCCACAUUAAGGUGAGUAAAUAUAAAUAAGCAUAUUUGAGGUGAAAGCGAUUUCCGUCCACAUUAUUGCUCUAAAGAAGUGUUUGUUGUUGGUGGUGCAUUUUCGAAAAGUAUUGUUUUCAAUGCAGAACACUCCCUUUCAGAGUGGACGGAAGGGCAAAAUGGGGGAAAUAAUUAUGUGUAUUUAUAUUUAUCUGGCUUAAUGUGGGCCGUAAUGUCCUGAAAUGUGGGCCAUAAUGUCCUGAAACUCAUCCAGAAGACCUUUUUCUGAAAUUUCUCUGGAAUUCUAGAACUUGCCCCUUAGCUUCAUUCAGAAUUCCUGAACAACUCAGGUUGAAAGGCUUGUUGCAGAGAGGAAAUGAAUGAACUGAAAAGACGCUCUGAAUAGACGCUUCUCUUGAAAGUGUAGAGAAGGGAACAAUCCCCUCAGCUUAUUGAUUUAAACGUCUUGAUGUGAGUCUUAGGAGUCAGGAUAAUUAUUAUCUCAGUGUCUAAUUGCCACUUGUUCUCAACGUUUGAUCCAUCUCUUCAGGAGGUUCCUGCGAGCUUGUCAGUAAAGAAGACAGACAUAUGGGUAUUGUUAAAAAGUACUAUCUUGUCCAUUUUGACAGCUUAGAGUCUUUAAAAUGUUUCUUUUAUUUUCAGUAUAAUGUGUCCUGUAUUAAAUGUUUUUUAUCCGCUACUA
Molecule: long non-coding RNA, 1520 nt
Organism: Alosa sapidissima (American shad)
Lineage: Eukaryota; Metazoa; Chordata; Actinopteri; Clupeiformes; Clupeidae
Exons: 2
Source: RefSeq, a predicted model, not a curated record